Molecule: long non-coding RNA, 1039 nt
Organism: Fukomys damarensis (Damara mole-rat)
Lineage: Eukaryota; Metazoa; Chordata; Mammalia; Rodentia; Bathyergidae
Exons: 4
Source: RefSeq, a predicted model, not a curated record
AGCGCAGAUGGCUGAGGUGGCUUGUGACGCAGGGCGGCAGGGCCGUGGCUAAGUCCUGUCUGCGUGUAUGGAGCCGGGCGCCUGUCCGUCUCCAAAUGCAGGAGAACCCUGCCCCACCCCAGCCCAGAAUGGAUGCUCACGCGUGAGGCUCUUUCCACCCUCCCUCUCCCUGCUGCCUGCCGCCUCCCUCCUUGGCUGUUAGGGCUUCCUGAGCUGACUGCUUGGGGGACAUGGAGACUCCCAGGAAACAAAAGCAAGAAGGGAAAGAAUGGGCUGCAGCUUCUGUGGGCGCGGAGGGCGGAGUCUGGAAGUAAAGACCAGCUCUUCCGCAGCCCUGGGCCGGAGCACUGGGGCGGAUCGCAAUCCCCAGACGCCGGGAGAUCGCCGCGGGCCUUAGUGACAGCUAACUCCCAGGAAGCCAGCCAGUGUCGGGUGCUGUGUGUGGACCGCCCAGAUGAUGACCACCUUCAGAGGUGGGCACUGUUCCACAAAUUUUCCAGGCGGGACAACCAAGGGACCCUCCCACGGUGAGGCCGUGCGGAUCUCGUUUUGGCCAGGCUGUUCUCCUGGCUCGCGGCCAGAAGAAGGCCUGGGGGUGAAUCCAGACAUCUCAUCUAAAAUAUCCCAAAUCAAGCAAAUAUCACAUCGAAUCUUCAGAGCCAGUAGCAGCACGGCGAAAGGAAACUUCUGGUGUGUUUGUGUGGCAGGUAAUUGUGGUGUCAACAUGAAGAAGAAAGGCCUAGCCAAGGGGCUGGCAUGGUUCUAGGUGUGUGUGGACGCCUGACUUCCUGAAGAGGAGAGACCCACCCGGACGUGGGUGGCACCAGCCAACAGGCUUGUAACUUGGACCGACACAAAGGGAAAGAAGGAGGCAAAAUCUUCCUCACUGUGUCUCUACAACUCUGUUAGCCUAUCCUUGGCUUUUUGUUUUUCCAGGAGUUUCUCAUGAAAGACCAAUUGACAGUGACAUACCUGAGAAUCAUGCUGAUUUGCAGCCAGAGUAAUUCCACUGACUUGUGUCUUAUUGAAAAGUUUUUUA